This 72-nucleotide transfer RNA is filed under the name Ciona intestinalis (vase tunicate). It matches the Rfam family "tRNA". Rfam says of the family: Transfer RNA (tRNA) molecules are approximately 80 nucleotides in length. Their secondary structure includes four short double-helical elements and three loops (D, anti-codon, and T loops). Lineage: Eukaryota; Metazoa; Chordata; Ascidiacea; Phlebobranchia; Cionidae. The record is from Rfam by way of RNAcentral.
GGCGGCGUGGCAAAGUGGUUAGCACACCUGCUUCUAAACCAGAGGUAAUGGGUUCAAGUCUCGUCGCUGCUA